Long non-coding RNA from Pipistrellus kuhlii (Kuhl's pipistrelle), 384 nucleotides. RefSeq lists it as uncharacterized. Lineage: Eukaryota; Metazoa; Chordata; Mammalia; Chiroptera; Vespertilionidae. The transcript is spliced from 2 exons. The record is from RefSeq and is a predicted model, not a curated record.
AUGAUUUUGGUAUCUGCAUCUCAAGUAUUUUGUAGCUAUAGCUUCUCAGAAUACUGUAUUUUUCUUUUCCGAUCAAGGGAUCUUUCCUUGGGGGAAGGAAGCCAAAUGUCUUCUGUCAGAUAGGUUAACAAGCAGGUCCUAUUUGGGAGACGGGGUUAACAUGCCCCAAACUCCCGCUGUUAGUUUCAACUUUAGCAAAUGAAAAAAAAAAAAAAAAAAAAAGAGGAAGAAGAAAUAUUAAUAAAUCUUUCAUGAAUGGUUACAGAAAUAAAACCCAGACUAUUCUGUGACUCAAAAUAACUGAAAUCCGUAAUUUUAAACCAACAAUUUGUAAACCCCUUUUAUGUAUAACUGGACUCACCCCCACAAACUCAGAAAACAAAG